RNAcentral lists this long non-coding RNA (467 nucleotides) under Felis catus (domestic cat). RNAcentral's name for it is "lncRNA (ENSFCAG00000052050.1)". The record is from RNAcentral. Lineage: Eukaryota; Metazoa; Chordata; Mammalia; Carnivora; Felidae.
AGGGACAGUCCCACCCUGGCAGCCGCGCGGAGAGGAGGGCGGCAGAGGAGACCGAAAACUAGGCUUGCCUGGGGCAGUCCAGCCGUAGUGGUGGGCGGGUGCGCGGUUCCUGGAUGUCCUGUAUUACCUGGUGACCUGACGACGCAGGUGGACGUGACUGGUCCCCUGACACUGAGUGCAUGCGGUGAUCCUGGUGGUCCUCUUGCUGGUGGGAGCCGUCAACAGAAGGAUCCAGGCAAAUUUCUGAAAGUGUGAACUUCCUUUCUGAAAACGCAUGACAGAUGAGACAAAUCUGAUAUCACAAAUAAGUAAGUUAGAUAUUUUGUUGUAAGGUGUAAUUAUACUGUGGGAAAAGGAGAAAGUGGAGCAGAGUAAAGGAAAUCAUGAGCGCUGGGCAGGUGAAGGAGGGACAGGUUACUCGAUCAAAUAAGAUGGUCAGAGCAGAGACUAAAAAAUAAUGGAACGAG